This 1536-nucleotide ribosomal RNA is filed under the name Bacteroides fragilis. RNAcentral describes it as "bacterial SSU rRNA". It matches the Rfam family "Bacterial small subunit ribosomal RNA". Lineage: Bacteria; Pseudomonadati; Bacteroidota; Bacteroidia; Bacteroidales; Bacteroidaceae. The record is from RNAcentral.
CUUUUACAAUGAAGAGUUUGAUCCUGGCUCAGGAUGAACGCUAGCUACAGGCUUAACACAUGCAAGUCGAGGGGCAUCAGGAAGAAAGCUUGCUUUCUUUGCUGGCGACCGGCGCACGGGUGAGUAACACGUAUCCAACCUGCCCUUUACUCGGGGAUAGCCUUUCGAAAGAAAGAUUAAUACCCGAUGGCAUAAUGAUUCCGCAUGGUUUCAUUAUUAAAGGAUUCCGGUAAAGGAUGGGGAUGCGUUCCAUUAGGUUGUUGGUGAGGUAACGGCUCACCAAGCCUUCGAUGGAUAGGGGUUCUGAGAGGAAGGUCCCCCACAUUGGAACUGAGACACGGUCCAAACUCCUACGGGAGGCAGCAGUGAGGAAUAUUGGUCAAUGGGCGCUAGCCUGAACCAGCCAAGUAGCGUGAAGGAUGAAGGCUCUAUGGGUCGUAAACUUCUUUUAUAUAAGAAUAAAGUGCAGUAUGUAUACUGUUUUGUAUGUAUUAUAUGAAUAAGGAUCGGCUAACUCCGUGCCAGCAGCCGCGGUAAUACGGAGGAUCCGAGCGUUAUCCGGAUUUAUUGGGUUUAAAGGGAGCGUAGGUGGACUGGUAAGUCAGUUGUGAAAGUUUGCGGCUCAACCGUAAAAUUGCAGUUGAUACUGUCAGUCUUGAGUACAGUAGAGGUGGGCGGAAUUCGUGGUGUAGCGGUGAAAUGCUUAGAUAUCACGAAGAACUCCGAUUGCGAAGGCAGCUCACUGGACUGCAACUGACACUGAUGCUCGAAAGUGUGGGUAUCAAACAGGAUUAGAUACCCUGGUAGUCCACACAGUAAACGAUGAAUACUCGCUGUUUGCGAUAUACAGUAAGCGGCCAAGCGAAAGCAUUAAGUAUUCCACCUGGGGAGUACGCCGGCAACGGUGAAACUCAAAGGAAUUGACGGGGGCCCGCACAAGCGGAGGAACAUGUGGUUUAAUUCGAUGAUACGCGAGGAACCUUACCCGGGCUUAAAUUGCAGUGGAAUGAUGUGGAAACAUGUCAGUGAGCAAUCACCGCUGUGAAGGUGCUGCAUGGUUGUCGUCAGCUCGUGCCGUGAGGUGUCGGCUUAAGUGCCAUAACGAGCGCAACCCUUAUCUUUAGUUACUAACAGGUUAUGCUGAGGACUCUAGAGAGACUGCCGUCGUAAGAUGUGAGGAAGGUGGGGAUGACGUCAAAUCAGCACGGCCCUUACGUCCGGGGCUACACACGUGUUACAAUGGGGGGUACAGAAGGCAGCUAGCGGGUGACCGUAUGCUAAUCCCAAAAGCCUCUCUCAGUUCGGAUCGAAGUCUGCAACCCGACUUCGUGAAGCUGGAUUCGCUAGUAAUCGCGCAUCAGCCACGGCGCGGUGAAUACGUUCCCGGGCCUUGUACACACCGCCCGUCAAGCCAUGGGAGCCGGGGGUACCUGAAGUACGUAACCGCAAGGAUCGUCCUAGGGUAAAACUGGUGACUGGGGCUAAGUCGUAACAAGGUAGCCGUACCGGAAGGUGCGGCUGGAACACCUCCUUUCU